UUCUUCUUCCUCCCCUCCGUGAUCUCUUCAUCUUCUCCAUCACUAUCUCUUUCUCCCCGGUUGGAAGAUACAACCAUCCAGAUCUCUUCCUCUUGAUUAUCUCCCUCCUCCCCAUUGGAAAACAAAUGGAUCUCCUCUCUCAAAAAGAAGGCAUGGAUUUCAUGCUCACGGAUCUUUUUGCAUCAAAAUAGUUUUCCUCAUCUGUACCAGAUCCGUAUUUUCACAUGGAAUUUGUUUUCUUGCAGGUUCGACUGUUGGUUUUCCUUUGGAUUUUGAUUCAUGUUUUUAUCUAUCGUGUCUUCUCAACUUUUUGUGCUCUCCACGGAUUGGAUCUUGAAUCUUCUCAUGUACAGUUUUUUGGUGUCUCAUGGAGAUCUGGUCUACAAUUGGAUCAACCAUGGCUUUUUAAUUGGAGUCCGAUUCAACUUUUUCUCUACCGUGUCCUCUCAUUGUUUUGUGCUCUCCACAGAUUGGAUCCUUUGUCUUCUCACCUAUAAUUCUGGGAUGACUCAUGGAGAUCAGGUAGGAGCACACCAACUUUACCCAUCUGCUCGAUGACUCAUGGAGAUCAGGUAGGAGCACACCAACUAUCCCCAUCUUCUCAAGAUUCUCCCACUUUGUGCAAAGCUUGCCUCUGAUCUGUUGCUGUCAUUGUUCUGUUUGUUAGAUCCUACAUGUUGCUUACAUAGUGCAGAUUCACCGACUAAUCAUAGGGUCUACUCUCUUUUUUCUAAUUAAAGCCUUGGAUUUGCCAGCAGCUUUGCUUGAGACUAAACAAGUACAAAUCCUAAGAAUUUUUAUGAUCUUUUACCUGUUAAUCUUUUCUAUUCCUUUAAUUUUUUAUAUUCGAGUUAUACUUUCUUUCGUUUUUGUAGUAUAAGGUUUAAAAUAAUACAGCUAACCUCAAUGGAGAAGGAUUCCCAUGCAAAGUGAAGGCCAGAGUAGUUACACCAAUGAGUAGUUACGCCAACGAGAAAGAUUCCUAGAAAGGGAAGGCUGGAGUAAUUCGUCUAUGGAACGCCAUUAACGUCGACAGCAAUGAACUUAUUUGACUUGACAUGAUACUAGAUGAAGAGGUCAGCCUAUUGGUAAAAUUAUAUGAUUUGCCAACAGAAAGAUGGUAGUAUGAGUUAUAGUACUUAUUACAAAUACAGAAGCAUCUUCUCGCUGCAUUACAUGGCACUAUAUUGGCUUAGCUGCAUGUGUAUCUCUAUGAUGUUAUUAAUCCGUGCAAGUAUCAGACAAUAAAUUUUUUGCAUGGCCACCAUUGCAGCUGGCCACCAUCGUGAUGGCGGAUUCAUCAUGCUACUGCUUCUUGGUUGGAACGUCGUGGCUGCACGGCCAGUCGACAUGCAACGCCAAUGCAAAGGCAUGUGCACUCACUACUUUAUUCCCAUGCUUCCAGUCGCAGGUGCAUUCAGCUCGCCAAGUUCUGGAUCUAGGGGUACAUGUGAUGGCUUGCUAGAGCAUCACGUACAUAUAAGGUUUCCAUGUUAGAGUAUGUUGUUUCCAGUUAUUUAUCUGGAAGGCGAUCAGUCGAUUGGUGAGGCCAUAAAUGGCUGUCUAUGGUUGUCUCCAGGUAACAAUUUUUUCCCCGAGCUAGCAUCUUAGUUGGACACAGGUUAUUGUCUGCAACUACUCAUGUUUCAGGCAAUAGACUUUGCCUGCUAACAGAAAAUGUUCUAAUGUUAUGGACAUUGUUCACAUGGCUGGAGUUCUAACGUUUAUAGCUAAGGACCUUAUCCAUGAAAGGAUUCUAACUAAAUUUUUUUGAGAGUUGAAGACCGAGUUGGAGCAGAACUAUGGCAACCAUGUCGUGCUAAAUACGGCCUAUGAGCUAUGCAUGUCGUCAAUACGUUACCUAAUACAUGGGAGGCUCAUGUUAGACUUGGCAAUGUUCUCUCGAUCUUUUUUCUAUCGGAUUUUUGUACUGCAAAAUUGAAUUGCUUCUAAGUAAGGAUUAGCCUUCACCUCAGUCCAUGCAUUUUAACUUUGUAAAUAUUUUAAGGUUAAACUUAUGAUGAAUGCAUGCCCCAGUUUAGAGUGGUGACGACUAUUGUAAACAUGUUUGGUUCAAGAUUUAUUUUUUGUUU
Molecule: long non-coding RNA, 2093 nt
Organism: Triticum dicoccoides
Lineage: Eukaryota; Viridiplantae; Streptophyta; Magnoliopsida; Poales; Poaceae
Exons: 2
Source: RefSeq, a predicted model, not a curated record